Molecule: long non-coding RNA, 675 nt
Organism: Musa acuminata subsp. malaccensis (wild Malaysian banana)
Lineage: Eukaryota; Viridiplantae; Streptophyta; Magnoliopsida; Zingiberales; Musaceae
Source: RefSeq, a predicted model, not a curated record
AUUCCAUCAAAACCGAUAUGGAAUCCGCCUUGCGAAUGGAGUUGCUGAAACCUUAGACACGAAGUCCAUUUCGCAGCUGGAGGACUCGGCCAGUAUAUAAACGAGCUCCGCGAUGGGUAGGAAAAGGAAGUGAGGACUCACAUGGCAGUGGUAGACGUAACCCAGGCACAGCAGUGGCAUCAGCUGCUUCUCGGAUAACCUAACUACAUGAUGAAGAUAGAGAUUUGAAUCCAGGAUUUUACGAUGACCUAUCAAGGUUUUUAUCAUCUAGGUGUCGGAGGGGGUGCGCUUGAGGGUGGCGGCGACGUCGGAGACCUUGCGGCCGAGCAUGAGGGAGGCCAUCAUCUCGUCGUUACGGCGGAUGUUCUCCAGCCGCCGGCGCUCGUACUCCGUCAGGGUAUCCGACGCCAUAAGCGAGUCGGCGACGAGAGAGAGAGAGAGAGAGAGAGAGGGCUUAUUAUCAUCUAAACUAGUCAACCCCAAAGUCAAAUAUCUGUCAUUCCCACCUACACCAAUUGCGUACCUAUACAUAGAUUUGAGUCAUAUCCCUUUUCUUAAUAUAUAAUCAUCAAACCAAUAUUUGAAAUAUUAGUACUAUGGUCCACAUGUCACAUAGUUCUAUCUUGUAUGGAUUAGGAUCUAUCAUUAGGCUAGCAAAUAAUUUUUUUUAUUUUA